Molecule: ribosomal RNA, 253 nt
Filed under: uncultured bacterium
Lineage: Bacteria
Description: partial 16S ribosomal RNA
Rfam family: Bacterial small subunit ribosomal RNA
Source: RNAcentral
UACGGGGGGGGCAAGCGUUGUUCGGAAUUACUGGGCGUAAAGGGCUCGUAGGCGGCCAACUAAGUCAUACGUGAAAUCCCUCGGCUUAACCGGGGAACUGCGUCUGAUACUGGAUGGCUUGAGUUCGGGAGAGGGAUGCGGAAUUCCAGGUGUAGCGGUGAAAUGCGUAGAUAUCAGGAGGAACACCGGUGGCGAAGGCGGAUCUCUGGGCCAUUACUGACGCUGAGGAGCGAAAGCGUGGGGAGCGAGCAGG